RNAcentral lists this microRNA precursor (109 nucleotides) under Sorghum bicolor (sorghum). Its description in RNAcentral is "miR5387b stem-loop (sbi-MIR5387b)". The stretch from base 5 to 98 matches the Rfam family "MIR5387 microRNA precursor family". Lineage: Eukaryota; Viridiplantae; Streptophyta; Magnoliopsida; Poales; Poaceae. The record is from miRBase by way of RNAcentral.
CGGCACGUGGCUCUGACCGGUGCUAAAGGGUCUCUGCCCCAACAACACCUGUCAGUAGCCGUGGGGCAGGAUCCUUUAGCACCGGUUCGUGUUACGAACCGGUGUUAAA